GCCUGGCUGGCUCAGUCGGUAAGGCAUGCGACUCUUGAUCGCUGGAUUGUGAGUUUGAGCCCCAUGUUGGGUG
Molecule: transfer RNA, 73 nt
Filed under: Ailuropoda melanoleuca (giant panda)
Lineage: Eukaryota; Metazoa; Chordata; Mammalia; Carnivora; Ursidae
Rfam family: tRNA
About the family: Transfer RNA (tRNA) molecules are approximately 80 nucleotides in length. Their secondary structure includes four short double-helical elements and three loops (D, anti-codon, and T loops).
Source: Rfam by way of RNAcentral